UGGUCAAUCCUAAAGUUUUAUUUUUGUGGAUUAACUGUAGUGUGGUUCUAAACGAUAAUCUGAUUUUUGGUAAAUGUAUACGUUAUUGUUCGUACGAUCGCCGAAUUUUAAAGCGUCAAUAAAAAGUAUGCGGUUCUGAACGGCUGAUCCUUUAAGAAUACCUACUAAACAAUCGAAAAAGGUGUGCGAAAAUGACUUAUGGAAAAUGUACGAUUAUAAACAACGCCCCAAAAUGUAAUUAAAAGCAUCGGAUCUGUUGGAAGAUUGUUCGAUACCAACACUUUUUACUACGUUGGAUAUAGUCGAAUAUUAUAUAAGCACACGGUUGGUAUACAUAAUCUCUGGUGUAAAUUUAAAUCGCGGUAAAAAAAUCAAAUAAGAAAUAUCAUUCAAAGAAGUCGGUAGAAUAAACGGUUGGAAUAAUCUGAUGGAAAUUUCGUUGAUAUCGCUGAAUUUCGGAACCGCAA
Cinara cedri is the source of this 467-nucleotide non-coding RNA. The record is from the annotation of a GenBank genome assembly. NCBI's taxonomy places the organism in Eukaryota, Metazoa, Arthropoda, Insecta, Hemiptera, Aphididae.